RNAcentral lists this ribosomal RNA (495 nucleotides) under uncultured bacterium. Its description in RNAcentral is "partial 16S ribosomal RNA". It matches the Rfam family "Bacterial small subunit ribosomal RNA", at positions 28 to 507 of the family's 1533-position model. The record is from RNAcentral.
GACGAACGCUGGCGGCGUGCCUAAUACAUGCAAGUAGAACGCUGAAGGAGGAGCUUGCUUCUCUGGAUGAGUUGCGAACGGGUGAGUAACGCGUAGGUAACCUGCCUGGUAGCGGGGGAUAACUAUUGGAAACGAUAGCUAAUACCGCAUAAUAGCAGUUGUUGCAUGAUAACUGUUUGAAAGGUGCAAUUGCACCACUACCAGAUGGACCUGCGUUGUAUUAGUUAGUUGGUGGGGUAACGGCUCACCAAGGCGACGAUACAUAGCCGGCCUGGGAGGGGGAACGGCCAAACUGGGAAUGAGACACGGCCCAGACUCCUUCGGGAGGCAGCAGUAGGGAAUCUUCGGCAAUAGACGGAAGUCUGACCGAGCAACGCCGCGUGAGUGAAGAAGGGUGUCGGAUCGUAAAGCUCGGUUGUAAGGGAAGAACGAGUGUGAGAGUGGAAAGUUCACACUGUGACGGUAGCUUACCAGAAAGGGACGGCUAACUACGUG